GACGAACGCUGGCGGCGUGCUUAACACAUGCAAGUCGAACGGAAAGGCCCUGCUUUUGUGGGGUGCUCGAGUGGCGAACGGGUGAGUAACACGUGAGUAACCUGCCCUUGACUUUGGGAUAACUUCAGGAAACUGGGGCUAAUACCGGAUAGGAGCUCCUGCUGCAUGGUGGGGGUUGGAAAGUUUCGGCGGGUGGGGAUGGACUCGCGGCUUAUCAGCUUGUUGGUGGGGUAGUGGCUUACCAAGGCUUUGACGGGUAGCCGGCCUGAGAGGGUGACCGGCCACAUUGGGACUGAGAUACGACCCAGACUCCUACGGGAGGCAGCAGUGGGGAAUAUUGCACAAUGGGCUGAAGCCUGAUGCAGCAACGCCGCGUGCGGGAUGACGGCCUUCGGGUUGUAAACCGCUUUCGCCUGUGACGAAGCGUGAGUGACGGUAAUGGGUAAAGAAGCACCGGCUAACUACGUG
RNAcentral lists this ribosomal RNA (468 nucleotides) under uncultured bacterium. Its description in RNAcentral is "partial 16S ribosomal RNA". It matches the Rfam family "Bacterial small subunit ribosomal RNA", at positions 28 to 507 of the family's 1533-position model. The record is from RNAcentral.